RNAcentral lists this unclassified non-coding RNA (363 nucleotides) under Hevea brasiliensis (rubber tree). The record is from RNAcentral. Lineage: Eukaryota; Viridiplantae; Streptophyta; Magnoliopsida; Malpighiales; Euphorbiaceae.
GAAAAAAAAAUAAACCUUUAAUUAGUUUCUAUAAAAUUAAUUUAGAAUGGAAAACAAAUUAAAUAAAUAAGUAGUAUUAUUCCUUGUUUAAUUAAUCACCUAUCAUCAAAGUUGGUUGUGGCAGCAAAAUUAACCACCACAUCAAUUUCUCUCCACAUCUCAUCCCUCAAGUAGGAUUCUUUCACUCCUAAAUCUUCAUAAGAGAUGUCACCAGCAACAGCAGUAACCUUUUCUGAUACAAAGGAAGAUAGGCUUUCACCAUAUUUCUCCCUUAGAACUUUAAACAGUUCCUUCCUUAUGACCUCCUUAUUUAGGCGUUCCAAAGCAGAGUUAGCACCAGAAGCUCUUAAAAGAAGAUAAAGC